AUGAACGCUGGCGGCGUGCCUAAUACAUGCAAGUCGAGCGAACAGACGAGGAGCUUGCUCCUCUGACGUUAGCGGCGGACGGGUGAGUAACACGUGGAUAACCUACCUAUAAGACUGGGAUAACUUCGGGAAACCGGAGCUAAUACCGGAUAAUAUAUUGAAUCGCAUGGUUCAAUAGUGAAAGACGGUUUUGCUGUCACUUAUAGAUGGAUCCGCGCCGCAUUAGCUAGUUGGUAAGGUAACGGCUUACCAAGGCAACGAUGCGUAGCCGACCUGAGAGGGUGAUCGGCCACACUGGAACUGAGACACGGUCCAGACUCCUACGGGAGGCAGCAGUAGGGAAUCUUCCGCAAUGGGCGAAAGCUUGACGGAGCAUCGCCGCGUGAGUGAUGAAGGUCUUCGGAUCGUAAAACUCUGUUAUUAGGGAAGAACAAAUGUGUAAGUAACUAUGCACGUCUUGACGGUACCUAAUCAGAAAGCCACGGCUAACUACGUG
Molecule: ribosomal RNA, 496 nt
Filed under: uncultured bacterium
Lineage: Bacteria
Description: partial 16S ribosomal RNA
Rfam family: Bacterial small subunit ribosomal RNA
Source: RNAcentral